This 270-nucleotide small RNA is filed under the name Sinorhizobium meliloti 2011. RNAcentral describes it as "putative ncRNA". The record is from RNAcentral. Lineage: Bacteria; Pseudomonadati; Pseudomonadota; Alphaproteobacteria; Hyphomicrobiales; Rhizobiaceae.
CUUAGAAACCAUCAAUUACUUUCAACUGCAUAGGAAGGGUUGGAGAAGUCACAUGGUUGCAUGAUGCUACCGUAAAGCACCAUAUGUUGGACAGGGUUGCAUCAAUUUGUUGUGGGCAAAUCCUUCAUUUAAGCCAUUAGGAAUUCUGAGUAUUUGGUAGUCACUGCAGCAAUCGCAUACUCAUUCUCGAUGCGUUCCCGCGCCGUGCGCGCAUAGCGCGCAUACUCCGCCUCCGGCAGGUCGAGAAAGGCGCGCAUUGCAUCGGCGAGC